RNAcentral lists this unclassified non-coding RNA (366 nucleotides) under Hevea brasiliensis (rubber tree). Lineage: Eukaryota; Viridiplantae; Streptophyta; Magnoliopsida; Malpighiales; Euphorbiaceae. The record is from RNAcentral.
GUUUUCCUGCCUCCCAGUCCUUGGAAGAAUUCCCUUUCUGGAAAACUGGCCCUAAUGCUUCGUAUAGCUCAUAGCCAGCACAAAACCUGAAAGGAGUGUGCAUUGUGUCAUUACACUCAGUCCCAAAACCUAAAUUUGUCUCAGCACAUUUAUCUGCAUAUGCAUUGGGAAGAUCCGACAAACCCAACAUUCUGUUUCGAUCAUUGUAAGCUUCAGAAGCAAGAUUGUUUCUAUUUCGCUGAGGGCAUUCAGUGACUUGUCCAGCAUCAUAUGAAACACUUCCAAUACUUGUAUCACUUUUAAAAUUUGGCUCACUUUUAUCUACCGAGCCCUUCCCCAAGACUCUCAAGUUGCUAGUUUGCCCUU